UACGGAGGUCCCAAGCGUUGUUCGGAUUCACUGGGCGUAAAGGGUGCGUAGGUGGUGAGGUAAGUCGGAUGUGAAAUCUCCGAGCUCAACUCGGAAAUGGCAUUGGAAACUACCUUGCUCGAGGGUUGGAGGGGGGACUGGAAUGCUUGGUGUAGCAGUGAAAUGCGUAGAUAUCGGAAGGAACACCUGUGGCGAAAGCGGCUCACUGGACCAUUACUGACGCUGAGGCACGAAAGCUAGGGGAGCAAACAGG
RNAcentral lists this ribosomal RNA (253 nucleotides) under uncultured bacterium. RNAcentral describes it as "partial 16S ribosomal RNA". It matches the Rfam family "Bacterial small subunit ribosomal RNA", at positions 524 to 776 of the family's 1533-position model. The record is from RNAcentral.